UGAAAGACAGAGAAAAAGAGGAGUACACAUCCAAAAUACGCAGAGAGAAGGAUUCAUUGGCUGAAAAAUCCUUUGUAGAAAGAAUGUGGAAGGUAGCUUUGGAGUUGCUUUGCUGAAGGGGAUUUCAGAAGAAAUUUCUGGGUAGGCAAAGCCGGGAGGUCCCGUUACAGACGAUAAAGUGUCCGUUUUUAGAAACGGGAAAUAAGGUGGUACCGCGAGCUUUCGUCCUUUGG
Molecule: non-coding RNA, 233 nt
Filed under: Bacillota bacterium
Lineage: Bacteria; Bacillati; Bacillota
Description: Firmicutes bacterium T-box sequence
Rfam family: T-box leader
About the family: Uncharged tRNA acts as the effector for transcription antitermination of genes in the T-box leader family.
Source: RNAcentral